Non-coding RNA from Podarcis lilfordi (Lilford's wall lizard), 73 nucleotides. The record is from the annotation of a GenBank genome assembly. Lineage: Eukaryota; Metazoa; Chordata; Lepidosauria; Squamata; Lacertidae.
GCUGGGAUAGCUCAGUCUGUAGAGCAGGAGACUCUUAAUCUCAGGGUUGUGGGUUCGAGCCCCAUGUUGGGCC